Pan troglodytes (chimpanzee) is the source of this 5416-nucleotide long non-coding RNA. RefSeq lists it as uncharacterized. The transcript is spliced from 3 exons. NCBI's taxonomy places the organism in Eukaryota, Metazoa, Chordata, Mammalia, Primates, Hominidae. The record is from RefSeq and is a predicted model, not a curated record.
CUCAGAAAACAAAAUGCUAAAGUCUCUCUUAAGAGUAGAAGCCUGGAAGGAAACCAACGAAUCCCAUUCUCCCAUUGACAACUGUCAAUGUUUGCUCACAGGUCGGGGCAGAGGUGGGGGUGCGGCGGGGAGUGUAGGCUUUUCACACUAUCAGUGUCUAAAUUAAGGGAGUAAGGCAACCUGAAACCUCUUGCUCCCAGGUUCCAUAGUUCCCAUUCCCCUUCCAGUUGGAAAUUUGUGCUGCAACCAGAGGAACCAGAAAGGGGGUGAGAACACUUAGGGGACUGGGUCCUAAGAUCAAAGGCCAGUCUUGUGGCAAUAAUGACAGUUCUCAGGGGGACUGUGACUCACUACAUUCCACUCCUUGUUGGGGUGAUCAGACCCAACACCAGGCCAUGGGGCCUACAAAGUCCGGCGGAGUCAAAGGAAUGAGAAAAGACAAGUUAAGGCAUAAAGUGGGACCAGGGGGCCAACGCUAGUAUGGAGGCUGUGAAGGCCCCGAGCUCUGGGACCCUAUGCCAUUUAUUGGUAAUCCAACAAAGAAGCAGGUAGUGAGGAUAUGAGGGUUGAGAGAAAGCAGUGCAUCAGGUGAAUGAGCUACAGCUGUGACGGUUUAGCAUUUUCUUUGCAGUAUAUGGAACAUGUUAUGCUACUUGAGAUAAUGGGAAACAUGUUCUUCUAGUUUAAGAUACAAUCGUUUUAUGAACCUGGGAUUGCUAGAACCAAGAAGCCAGCAAGUCUAGACACAUUCCAGAGGCCACGAGGGGUUUUAUGCCCUGAGCCCUGGAUUCCAUCCAAGCCAUGAGGGGUUUUAUGCCCUGGACUUAGAUUGUGGUGUGGCAGGGCAGACUUCCACCCUUUAGCAUGGAGAUUGGUGUUCCAAAGGUCAUGAGGGGUUUUAUACUCUGGACCCCAGACAUGUUCCAAGACUCUUUUGCAUUAUGUCAGACGUGCAAGCCCUGCCUCAGCUUCUCUCCCAACCCUCAGCUUUUCUCCCAACAACUCCUCCCUGUUGGGGGGGCCACAUCACUCUGAACGGUAGAGGGGGUGCUUGGAGACAUGAGCUCAAAAAGCCUAGGGAGGUCUGGCUUGGGGUGGCAGGAGGUGAGGACCAAAUCUGGAGUGGAGGGCCCUGGGAGUCAUUGGCCCAAAGUCACCCAGGGGUGACCAGUGAGGGUGGGGACUGGGCUGCUGAGGGGGCAGGGCUGGCUGACAAGACUUUGGUUGGGGAAGCCCAGAGGCCCAGCCUGGUAUGCCUCAGGAGUGGCACGGACUCUGGCAGUGGUCCUGCUGUCGAAGGGGGCUUAGGGCUGGGUCAGGUAGCCACAACCCCGUGCAUUUUACCUUUUUUUCUUGGCCUUGACCAGUUGGCUUCAUUUUACCGUUUUUUUCUUGGCUGUGUCCAAUUCCCUGUGUUAGUUUCUUCCGAUACCACAGGGCAGGGAGGGAGGUGGGGUUGGGACCACAUCAGUGUAAUCCUGGCAACCACUGCUAAACACUUCUAGCCAGCUACCACCAGUUGUGCAACUGAGCCAGAGGAGGCAUAACCAGGGCCUCACUAGAAUGCAGGAUAAGGGCACGGCUUCAAUGCUCCAAGCCCAUUGGUCGACGAGAAAGGAGGGAAAGGGAAAAAAAAGGGAAAGGAGGCACGGCCAGGUGGCAGCGUGGCCAGAGGGACCUGUGGUUUCACAAGUAAAGCUGCACAGGCAACCGCUCUCCCCGCCCACUCCAGGAAAGGGGCAGGGCUGGCUUUCACUUUAAAAACUUUAAAACUUAAAAAAAAAAUCUGCGUGUACUUUAUAUAUAUGUGUUUGUCUAUUGUGUAUAUAUGUGUUCUUUCAGAGCUGUCUUCAUUAUACAGCUUCUAUGCCAGGUCUUUGAUUUUGGCCUUUAUUAUUCAUCUUUGAAUGGAGCACAAGAAUUACCAGUAUUACCUCAAUUGAGGUACAAAUCCUAUAAAAAUGGAAAACCCAUAGCAUGCUCAAUGAUUAAGGCAGAAGACUAUAUUAUCCAACAUUCCAAUAAGAUAAAAUAAUCACAAUGAUUUCUCUUUUUUGGAAAAAGAUUAUUUUAUUCUCCUACAUUAUUGUUAAGUUUUUUUUUUAACAAGAAACAUGUCUAAUAUCUUUAAAAACACACAUUUUUCAAUUUAAUAAGCACUCAAACCUCUUUACCAGUUUAAAAAAAAAUUACAAGGCCCUUCUAAAGUAAGGCUAAAUGCUAAGUGAUGGGGGAGAGAAAAAGGACAUAAACAACUCCUACUCUCAAGGGGUUAAUCACUAAAUCCUAUUUGACUAGAAUCACCUGGCCUCUCCAAACCUUGCAAAUGAAACUGAAUUUCUCACUAGAUACUAGACUAUGACUUGCAGCAAUUGUGAAAACCAAGAAUUGUGUUAUGUCACUGGGUAUUGCGUGUUAUCUGAAUUCCACACUAGGCUGGGAUCAAGGGUUGAAUCUUUCAUGAUUUGCUCCAUAACCUGUGUGCUUCUUAUCCCAGACCCAAGUAAGCUUUCUUCUAGAGUUCUACAAUUUACAGUUAGUAUACAAGAAUGGUCCUCAAAAAUGUAGUCUCUGGACCAGCACCACCAGCAUCACCGGAGAACUUUUUAUAAAUGCAUAUUCUCAGGCUCCACCUUAGACCUGAUGAAUCAGAAACUCUGGAGUAGGGCCUAGCAAUCUGUGCUGCAAUAAACCCUGCAGGUGUUCAGGAACGUCUGGCAUACAGCAGGUAGAAAAAUGUGUUUCCUUCUGCAGGUCCAAAGCCAGGGAUACUGUAUGUUCUGUCUUGAUAUGAAACAAAGACAUGCAAUUAAAAGACAUAAAUCUCCUUCCUACUCCCAUCCUCCAGCUAAUGUGUUUUAUUUUUAUAAGUUAAAUAAGAAAACAAGUGGCAAUCAGAGAUUUAAUCUAAAAAGUAUGUUUACAGAUAUCUGUUCUUAUCCAGUCUGAUCUUAUACAAUACCACUUACAUCCUCCUACAUCUAAAGUUUUAGAAAGGGACCUUCACAAUAUAAGUCUAAGGCACACUAGGAGUGUGAUAAUAAAAGACCAAGUAGAUCUGAAUGUCCAAACUUACUAGAGAAGAAAAGUGGAAUCACUGGCUUUAUUUUCAAAUUGCAUUCAACAGGAAAUUAAGGUUUUGAAUUUUUUUCACCUCUGUAUUUCCAAGUUAAUAGAAUUAAACCAGAAUACUCCAUACUUCCAAAGCCUCUAGCCAGGCAAAGUUUUACUUUAUUACUUCUUGCUUUUGAUUGAUAUAAAGCAGUGUCCUGGUAGGCAUAUUGUGUAUACUUGCAAAGAUGCAGAACUAAACAGUUGUUAAUAUUAAAACAAAAGUCCUGUAAACCUCAGAUGGUGAGUGUAAUAUUUUAGCACUAACACCAAAGCCUCAGAUAUGAAAAGAUACCAAAAACACCACUAGCAAACAAAAGUAAACUCUCAGCUGGAAGCAGUAGUUCAUACCUGUAAGCCCACCACUUUGGCAAGCUAAGGUGGGAGGAUUACUUGGAGUCAGGAGUCCAAGACCAGCCUGGGCAGCAUAGUGAAUUCACAUCUCUACAAAAAAAUUUAAAAAUUAGCAUGCCUAUAGUCCUAGCCACCUGGGAGUCUGAGGUGGGAAAAUCGCUUGAGCCCAGGAGUUUGAGGCUGCUGUAGCUACGAUAAUGCCACUGCACUCUAGCCUAGGUGACAGAGCGAGACCUAGAUAAUUACAUUCUGUCCUGCUCCUGUUUACACUAAAAUCACUAAGUUAAAAUGCUUUCAUUCAGCAGGAUAAAAAUUAAGUGACAUGGCCGGGUGUGGUGGCUCACAUCUGUAAUCCCAGCACUUUGGGAGGCCGAGGUGGGUGGAUCACCUGAGGUCGGGAGUUCGAGACCAACCUGACCAACAUGGAGAAACCCCGUCUCUAAUUCAAAUACAAAAUUAGCCGGGCAUGGUGGCACAUGCCUGUAAUCCUAGCUACUCAGGAGGCUGAGGCGGGAAGAAUCGCUUGAACCUGGAAGGGGGAGGUUUCAGUGAGCCAAGAUCACACCACUGCACUCCAGCCUGGGCAAACAAGAGCGAAACUCCACCUCAAAAAAAAAAAAAAAAAAAAAAAAAAAUUAAGUGAAAUGUGGCCAGGCGCGGUGGCUCACGCCUGUAAUCCCAGCACUUUGGGAAGCUGAGGCAGGCAGAUCACCUGAGUUCAGGAGUUCGAGACCAGACUGGCCAACGUGGUGAAACACAGUCUCUACUACAAAUACAAAAAUUAGCCAGGCAUGGUGGCGAGUGCCUGUAGUCCCAGCUACUCAGGAGACUAAGGCAGGAGAAUCACCUGAACCUAGGAGGCAGAGGUUGCAGUGGGCCAAGAUCAUGCCACUGCACUCCAGCCAGACUCUGUCUCAAAAAAUAAAAAUAAAUUGAUUAAGUGAAAUGUGAUUUUGGAGCUUGGGUGGCUAAAAAAGGAAAGAAAAUAUAAAGCUAAACAACAAAUUACUUACUAGGAGAAAGUUUUUGUAACCUCAGUGACAGAUAAAAGGUUUAUAUCCUAAGCCCAUAAAGAAAUCUUUAAAAUUACUCAGAAAAAUGAUUUUAAAAGAUAAAAUUAUUUCACAAUUUUAUAAAAUUACUCAGAGAAAAACAAAUGGUUUCCAACAGAAAAUGGGAAAUGGAGAAACAAACACUUCUCACAAGAAUAAAAAUUGCCAAUAAGCAUAUAAAAGAUUCAAAAGCACUAGAAAUCAAAGAAAUGUAAUGAAAACAAUGAGAUUUUCUGCUUAAAGACUAGCAAAGACAACAAAUGGAAGGGGGAAGCUGGAGCUCUGUCCCUGUUGGUGGGAGUAUAAACUGAACCAAUCUUCCUGCACAAUAAUUUGAAAAUGUCUAUUAAAAUCCCUAAAACUGUUUUAUAUUAUUUUCCUCCAGAAAUUCUACUUCUAUGAAUUCAGUCAUAAAAUGCUUGCUCGAGUCCAUUAAAAUGUAUAUAUGAGGAAAUUCACCUCUGGGGUGGCAAUGAUUAACUUAAUAUACAUCCAGCUAUUAAAAAUGAUGAUGCCAGGAUAUACUUACUGCCAUAGAAGCAAGCCCAAAAUAUAGAGUGUUUGGUAAACUUCACCAUGUCUAUAUCUCUGUGUCUUUGCACCUGCUGGUCUCUGCUUGGAAUGAUGUCUCAAGGUUUUAUUCACCUGGAAAGAAUUCCUACUCACCCUUAAAGACUCAGCUUAAAUAACCCCUUCUCUGCUGUCAUACAAAGAUGACCCAAGGACAGAGGCAGCAGAGGGCAGUGCAGGGUAGUGCAAGAAGCUCUGGCUCUGGGACUAAUUGGACGAGGUCUGAAUCUUAACUCUGGCACCUGUUAGUGAAGCAGCCUCAAGCAAAUCACUUAAUGCUUCUGUACUUCCUUUAUUGUUUUGUAAAUAAAGAAAAUUCAAUCUACCAA